This 797-nucleotide ribosomal RNA is filed under the name Salmonella enterica subsp. enterica serovar Gaminara. RNAcentral's name for it is "bacterial SSU rRNA". It matches the Rfam family "Bacterial small subunit ribosomal RNA", at positions 1 to 787 of the family's 1533-position model. Lineage: Bacteria; Pseudomonadati; Pseudomonadota; Gammaproteobacteria; Enterobacterales; Enterobacteriaceae. The record is from RNAcentral.
AAAUUGAAGAGUUUGAUCAUGGCUCAGAUUGAACGCUGGCGGCAGGCCUAACACAUGCAAGUCGAACGGUAACAGGAAGCAGCUUGCUGCUUUGCUGACGAGUGGCGGACGGGUGAGUAAUGUCUGGGAAACUGCCUGAUGGAGGGGGAUAACUACUGGAAACGGUGGCUAAUACCGCAUAACGUCGCAAGACCAAAGAGGGGGACCUUCGGGCCUCUUGCCAUCAGAUGUGCCCAGAUGGGAUUAGCUUGUUGGUGAGGUAACGGCUCACCAAGGCGACGAUCCCUAGCUGGUCUGAGAGGAUGACCAGCCACACUGGAACUGAGACACGGUCCAGACUCCUACGGGAGGCAGCAGUGGGGAAUAUUGCACAAUGGGCGCAAGCCUGAUGCAGCCAUGCCGCGUGUAUGAAGAAGGCCUUCGGGUUGUAAAGUACUUUCAGCGGGGAGGAAGGUGUUGUGGUUAAUAACCGCAGCAAUUGACGUUACCCGCAGAAGAAGCACCGGCUAACUCCGUGCCAGCAGCCGCGGUAAUACGGAGGGUGCAAGCGUUAAUCGGAAUUACUGGGCGUAAAGCGCACGCAGGCGGUCUGUCAAGUCGGAUGUGAAAUCCCCGGGCUCAACCUGGGAACUGCAUUCGAAACUGGCAGGCUUGAGUCUUGUAGAGGGGGGUAGAAUUCCAGGUGUAGCGGUGAAAUGCGUAGAGAUCUGGAGGAAUACCGGUGGCGAAGGCGGCCCCCUGGACAAAGACUGACGCUCAGGUGCGAAAGCGUGGGGAGCAAACAGGAUUAGAUACCC